UAUUGGUGAUGUGGGAAAUCCCUUAGAAGAGAUUUGAAUCUCUCCUAUGCAUAAUAAAGAUUCUUAUCUGACUUUUGUUUGAAACAUAGGAUCUCACUCCUUAAACU
This is a non-coding RNA of Capsicum annuum, 107 nucleotides long. NCBI's taxonomy places the organism in Eukaryota, Viridiplantae, Streptophyta, Magnoliopsida, Solanales, Solanaceae. The record is from Rfam.